Ixodes scapularis (black-legged tick) is the source of this 679-nucleotide RNA transcript. RefSeq lists it as uncharacterized. The record is from RefSeq and is a predicted model, not a curated record. Lineage: Eukaryota; Metazoa; Arthropoda; Arachnida; Ixodida; Ixodidae. The transcript is spliced from 5 exons.
AUGCGUUACGUUCAGCUCAGAUGCAAACCAGGCUACCAGGCUACUGCUGCCACGGCUUUGUCUACACGAGAAAAUCAACGGCAACAACUUUAUCACUUGACGCAGUUCACAUCGUCGUUCCCGGGGUUAUGUGGCAGCGUCAACAUCGCCGCAGCUGUUAUUUCUGUCCUACGCACAAGAGGGACCAUGUCAAAGCUCUACAACCCAGUCACUGCCUGUCUCAAGAAGCCAAUGCGUGAAGAUACGUCGACCGGGGACAGCGACAAAAAGAAUGAUGAAAACAAGUCUCCAGCAUCAAGUCCAACCAGCGGAGAGGCUCCCACAGGUUGGAUGAGAAGCAUAACGUCGGGAUUAUACAAUGCCAGUGUCGGAAGUGUCAAAUGGGUUGCAACGACCACCUACAACGUUGGAUCUGGUGUUGUCAGCACAGGAUCCAGCCUGGCCCAAAAGGCAGUCCGCAAAGAAAGCAAAAGCAAGAACGAGUGAUCUCUACACAGUUGUAUCCUCACACAACAAAACAAAAAUAAUCAGGGGCAGGUUUGCAAGUACACAUUGCAGCUGCGGAGCAACACACGAGACUAUGCGGCGAGCAGCAAGUCAAUGUUCCAUCCAGUACCGACAUUCCCAUCCUUUCCUUUUCAAGGUUGCCAAAAUAGCAAGCUGUGGAUCAAUGUCUCAU